Molecule: ribosomal RNA, 498 nt
Filed under: uncultured bacterium
Lineage: Bacteria
Description: partial 16S ribosomal RNA
Rfam family: Bacterial small subunit ribosomal RNA
Source: RNAcentral
AUUGAACGCUGGCGGCAUGCUUUACACAUGCAAGUCGAACGGUAACAGGCCGCAAGGUGCUGACGAGUGGCGAACGGGUGAGUAAUGCAUCGGAACGUGCCCAGUCGUGGGGGAUAACGCAGCGAAAGCUGCGCUAAUACCGCAUACGAUCUAUGGAUGAAAGCGGGGGACCGUAAGGCCUCGCGCGAUUGGAGCGGCCGAUGUCAGAUUAGGUAGUUGGUGGGGUAAAGGCUCACCAAGCCAACGAUCUGUAGCUGGUCUGAGAGGACGACCAGCCACACUGGGACUGAGACACGGCCCAGACUCCUACGGGAGGCAGCAGUGGGGAAUUUUGGACAAUGGGCGCAAGCCUGAUCCAGCAAUGCCGCGUGCAGGAAGAAGGCCUUCGGGUUGUAAACUGCUUUUGUACGGAACGAAACGGUCUGGGUUAAUACCUCGGGCUAAUGACGGUACCGUAAGAAUAAGCACCGGCUAACUACGUGCCAGCAGCCGCCGUAA